UAGGGAAUCUUCGGCAAUGGACGAAAGUCUGACCGAGCAACGCCGCGUGAGUAGAAGAAGGUUUUCGGAUCGUAAAACUCUGUUGUUAGAGAAGAACAAGUGGGAGAGUAACUGUUCCCACCUUGACGGUAUCUAACCAGAAAGCCACGGCUAACUACGUGCCAGCAGCCGCGGUAAUACGUAGGUGGCAAGCGUUGUCCGGAUUUAUUGGGCGUAAAGCGAGCGCAGGCGGUUUCUUAAGUCUGAUGUGAAAGCCCUCGGCUCAACCGAGGAAGGUCAUUGGAAACUGGGGAACUUGAAUGCAGAAGAGGAGAGUGGAAUUCCAUGUGUAGCGGUGAAAUUGCGUAGAUAUAUGGAGGAACACCAGUGGCGAAAGGCGACUCUCUGGUCUGUAAAUUUGACGCUGAGGCUCGAAAAGCGUGGGGAGCAAAAC
Molecule: ribosomal RNA, 433 nt
Filed under: uncultured Vagococcus sp.
Lineage: Bacteria; Bacillati; Bacillota; Bacilli; Lactobacillales; Enterococcaceae
Description: bacterial SSU rRNA
Rfam family: Bacterial small subunit ribosomal RNA
Source: RNAcentral